This is a transfer RNA of 74 nucleotides. It matches the Rfam family "tRNA". Rfam says of the family: Transfer RNA (tRNA) molecules are approximately 80 nucleotides in length. Their secondary structure includes four short double-helical elements and three loops (D, anti-codon, and T loops). Further hydrogen bonds mediate the characteristic L-shaped molecular structure. tRNAs have two regions of fundamental functional importance: the anti-codon, which is responsible for specific mRNA codon recognition, and the 3' end, to which the tRNAs corresponding amino acid is attached (by aminoacyl-tRNA synthetases). tRNAs cope with the degeneracy of the genetic code in two manners: having more than one tRNA (with a specific anti-codon) for a particular amino acid; and 'wobble' base-pairing, i.e. permitting non-standard base-pairing at the 3rd anti-codon position. The record is from Rfam.
CCUCCGUUGCGCCAAAUUGGAAAGGCGGUCAAGCUGUGAACUUGAUUACAUGGGUUCGAUUCCCAUACGGUUGU